CAAUAAGCGGAGGAAAAGAAACUAACAAGGAUUCCCCUAGUAACUGCGAGUGAAGCGGGAAGAGCUCAAAUUUAAAAUCUGGCGGUCUUUGGCCGUCCGAGUUGUAAUUUAGAGAAGCGUCUUCCGCGCCGGACCAUGCACAAGUCUCCUGGAAUGGAGCGUCAUAGAGGGUGAGAAUCCCGUCUUUGGCAUGGAACCCCCGGGGCUUCUGUGAUGCGCUCUCGAAGAGUCGAGUUGUUUGGGAAUGCAGCUCAAAAUGGGUGGUGAACUCCAUCUAAAGCUAAAUAUUGGCGAGAGACCGAUAGCGAACAAGUACCGUGAGGGAAAGAUGAAAAGCACUUUGGAAAGAGAGUGAAACAGUACGUGAAAUUGUUGAAAGGGAAACGCUUGGAGUCAGUCGCGUCGGCCGAGACUCAGCCUCGCCUCGGCUUGGCGUACUUCUCGACCGACGGGCCAGCAUCAAUUUCGUCCCUCGGAUAAUGGCAAGGGAAAGGUGGCACCCUUUUGGGUGUGUUAUAGUCUCCUGUCGAAUGCGAGGGGUGGGAUUGAGGAACUCAGCACGCGCCCACUCGGCGUCGGGGCUUCGGCCCACGUUUACGUGCUUAGGA
Molecule: ribosomal RNA, 608 nt
Filed under: Lactifluus inversus
Lineage: Eukaryota; Fungi; Basidiomycota; Agaricomycetes; Russulales; Russulaceae
Description: eukaryotic LSU rRNA
Rfam family: Eukaryotic large subunit ribosomal RNA
Source: RNAcentral